GCUGGGCAUGGUGGUGCAUGCCUGUAAUCCCAGCUACUUGGGAAGCUGAGGCAGGAGAAUCGCUUGAACCCAGGAGGCGGAGGUUGCAGUGAGCCAAGAUCGCGCCAUUGCACUCCAGCCUGGGCAACAGAGCGAGACUCCGUCUCAA
RNAcentral lists this non-coding RNA (148 nucleotides) under Gorilla gorilla gorilla (western lowland gorilla). The record is from Rfam by way of RNAcentral. Lineage: Eukaryota; Metazoa; Chordata; Mammalia; Primates; Hominidae.